AAAUGGAAUAAACACCACUUGUGCUUUCUUCAUCUUGGAGUAGAAUCACUUACUCAGUGUAAGUUACUGUUUUCUGAAUUGUUCGUAUACUAUUUGUUUCUUAAAUUCUAGAGAAUUAGUAUGGUGUGUUUGAAAUAUGUCUGUGUCUCACACCAUUACUGAUAUAUAUGAUUUACAUGCCAUUUGAUCACUUUUAUUUAUUAAAAUUAUUAUUUAUCGGUGUCUACUUAUCAGCGUCGUAUUUUAAAGUUUCAACGAAUCACAUUGAUGUGGUGAUUGGUUAAAUUCAUUGAAAUUUCAAACAAGACUAACUAAAUGGAAACUGAUGUCAUUGCUUAUGUGGAAUGAAAGUGAGGUGAGAUUGAAAUGUUUUUGUCUUUAUAAAAAGCUAUUGGCUAUUUAGUAUUGAAUAUAUUGACUGUGGAAAAUUAUGUGUAUCUUGUUGGAAUUAUUGAAGGCAUGCGAAUAUAUAAUGUAUGGAUUGUUUUGGAACUUUAUGACAGUAAUAUCCACUGAGCUGCAAUCUUAUGGUUCUAGUUCUAGCUUCUUAUAAUAUAUAUUUUUUUGUUUUUCUAGUUCUGUAAAAUGAAUAUAUAAUGUAAAGUUGUGGAUGUCUGUAUAAUGCUUAGUUUGCUACAUAAUUUUGUUUUCAUUGUUGCCUAGGUGAUGCAGAAUCUUGGCAUCAUUGUUGUUUAGUUGUUUGGUUUGCUAGAAACUAUUUGAAAUCCUUAACAGUUUGGAGGGAUAGGGAGGAUGCUAGAUUUUGAAAUCAUUGCGCUAAGCACUAUUGAGGCUCCGUCCGCAGAUAUAUAAAUGGUGGAUGACCCGAUCAAAAACCUAAUACCAGGCGACCCAGCGGAUUGUGGAGGAAGCUCUCAUACCUUCUUAGAAUUGGGAGUUGGGCUAACUCAAUCCAAUAAAACCGGCUUGUAAGAUGAGGAUUGCCGUCACUUAUAAACAUAUAUUCAGGUCAUCUUGUAACCAAUGUCAGAUGCUUUAACAGAAGCAAUUGAAAGCAAGGUGUAUGAGCAAUGUAACCAUUCAUAGGCCUAAUGGCUAAUAUUGGGUCAAGAUCAUGGGAAAAUCUAAAAAAAGUGCAACACAGAUUUAAGAGCAUGUGACUUAUGGUGACCUGACCAUGUGUUCAUCUAGCUGUACACAUGAUUAGGUAUCUUUAUGAACAUUUCAUAAAAUUAUGUUAUUUCAUAUUGAAGGUAUCCUCAACAUAAUUUGUAUACUCAAUC
This 1244-nucleotide long non-coding RNA is filed under the name Trifolium pratense (red clover). Its description in RNAcentral is "long non-coding RNA (TPRA_LNC012072)". The record is from RNAcentral. Lineage: Eukaryota; Viridiplantae; Streptophyta; Magnoliopsida; Fabales; Fabaceae.